This 253-nucleotide ribosomal RNA is filed under the name uncultured archaeon. RNAcentral's name for it is "partial 16S ribosomal RNA". It matches the Rfam family "Archaeal small subunit ribosomal RNA", at positions 474 to 726 of the family's 1478-position model. The record is from RNAcentral.
UCCCGGCGGUCCAAGUCGUAGCCACAAUUAUUGGGUCUAAAACAUCCGUAGCUUGCUUGACAAGUCUUUUGUGAAAUCUGACAUCUUAAGUGUCAGGCGUGCAAAAGAUACUGUCGAGCUCGAGGCUGGGGGACGCAAGAAGUACAUUUGAGGUAGUGGUAAAAUACGUUGAUCUCAGGUGGACUAACAACAGCGAAGGCAUCUUGCGAUAACAGUUCUGACAGUGAGGGAUGAAGGCUAGGGGCGCAAAAGG